UACGUAGGGUGCAAGCGUUGUCCGGAAUUAUUGGGCGUAAAGAGCUCGUAGGCGGUUUGUCGCGUCGGCUGUGAAAACCUGGGGCUUAACUCCGGGCCUGCAGCCGAUACGGGCAGACUUGAGUACUGCAGGGGAGACUGGAAUUCCUGGUGUAGCGGUGGAAUGCGCAGAUAUCAGGAGGAACACCGGUGGCGAAGGCGGGU
Molecule: ribosomal RNA, 203 nt
Filed under: uncultured bacterium
Lineage: Bacteria
Description: partial 16S ribosomal RNA
Rfam family: Bacterial small subunit ribosomal RNA
Source: RNAcentral